Molecule: non-coding RNA, 71 nt
Organism: Parcubacteria group bacterium CG2_30_36_38
Lineage: Bacteria
Source: Rfam
GCCCCCAUAGCUUAAUGGUAAAGCAGUCGCCUCUUAAGCGACUGACCUAGGUUCGAUUCCUAGUGGGGGUA